This 342-nucleotide ribosomal RNA is filed under the name uncultured Acidobacteriota bacterium. Its description in RNAcentral is "bacterial SSU rRNA". It matches the Rfam family "Bacterial small subunit ribosomal RNA", at positions 15 to 354 of the family's 1533-position model. Lineage: Bacteria; Pseudomonadati; Acidobacteriota. The record is from RNAcentral.
GAUCCUGGCUCAGAAUCAACGCUGGCGGCGUGCCUAACACAUGCAAGUCGAACGCGAAAGGGGCUUCGGCCCUGAGUAGAGUGGCGUCCGGGUGAGUAACGCGUGGGUAAUCUGCCUCUGGGUGGGGAAUAACUCAGGGAAACUUGAGCUAAUACCGCGUAAUGCAGCGGCUCGACAUCGAGACAGUUGUUAAAGCAGAAAUGCGCCUAGAGAGGAGCCCGCGUCCGAUUAGCUAGUUGGGAGGGUAAUGGCCUACCAAGGCGACGAUCGGUAGCUGGUCUGAGAGGACGGCCAGCCACAAUGGCACUGAAACACGGGCCAUACUCCUACGGGAGGCAGCAG